GGGCAGCGUGGGGGCAGAGGCUGGCCCUCCUGAUCUGCACCCAGGCGGCUUCUACACCACCCUGCAGCAGGCCUGGCCACCGGCCUCAGCGCUUCUGGGAGAAGCAGGCAGAUGAGCCCUGGGACCCAGCUGGCCAACCCACCUGACCACGGUGACAAGGACUGCUUGGGAAGGAUAAGCCCAGGUUCGGGAAAGCAAAUUCAGGCUGCAGGACAGCUGCCCGGGCCCCCCACAAGCCUGGCACCAGCCCAGGGAAGACUGAGGAGCCUCACUCCAUGGGGACUGAGCUCCUUCCCUUGCGUUCUGUUCCACACACUUUUUGGGCUGGAAGAAUCCCCUGGCUAGAGAAGCUCAUGUCCUGGUGGUGGAAGAGAUGCCGCCCUACAGCCCAAGGCCUUAUGCAAAGCAGCAAACACCUGAACACAGCGAACCUGAAGGUAUAGGGCAUCUUCAGGCUGCUACUGAGGCGGUCCUGCCGCACUCAACCCAGAACCUCAUCACUAAAAGGAACCUCAUGGUUCAGGCUAGAGUGCAGUGGCGCGAUCUCGGCUCACUGAAACCUCCGCCUCCCAGGUUCAAGCAAUUCUCCUGCUUCAGCCUCCCAAGUAGCUAGGAGUACAGGAGCUGCCAAAAAGCUUUCAGCUGCUGCAUUGGCCGGGAAUCGAACCCGGGCCUCCCGCGUGGCAGGCGAGAAUUCUACCACUGAACCACCAAUGCUCCAGCUGAGUGCUGUUCUGCCUCCAGCUGUUUUGUUGCUCUGAUUCACAGUGGUGAUGGCACAGCUGUAACCUGACACCUGAGAUGGGUCCAGCAUGGACAGCUGCUGGAUUUUACCAGCCAAACCUAUGGGAGGAGGUGGGGCAUGCAUGCUUGACAUUCUGCUCAGCUGUUCAAAAGAAAAGUCCAUGAAUGGCAAUGGGAGAAUGCUCAGCAAUUCUUUUGGCUCCUGUGGGCAGGUUCCAGACCUUACUCUGUUAUCCUUAAAGAUCUGAGUAGGCUUAGUCUUCCCUAUAAAAAAUUUCUUGACAAAUUAGCUGAAACUGUCAUUCACUUGUUUCUCUUGUUUUAUGGCCUUGUGGGUUAUUCUACUGAAUGCUGUGAUUUCUUUUACCACUGGUUGAUUUGUCUUGUUUUGCUGUCUUGCCUCCUUGACUAGACUGUAAGCCUCUGGAGCACAAGGACUUUGUCUGGUAAACACAGCUUGAUGUAUAACAGAUGUUUGCUAAAUGUUAGAUUUGUAAUAAAUGGAAUUUAACUAGAAAAAAAAAUCUGAGUAGGUUAUAUCUCAGUUUACUCUGGCUGCUUCGGCAAAGGAGGACAUCAACCCAAAGCUGAUCAGUGACCUCUUGGUGAGGACAGAGACCCAAGAAAUAUGAAAGCAUCAGGGUUCUAGAUUACAUCUGGAGUCAAAUUCCAGAUGCCAGUCGGCAUAAAUGUGGUUUCUUUUUUCUUUUUUUUUUGAGAUAGGGUCUUUCUCUGUUGCCUAGGUUGGAAUACAGUGGUGUGAUCAUAGCUCACUGCAACUUCUGCCUCCUGGGCUCCUGGGCUCAAGUGAUCCUCCCGCUUCAGCUUCCUGAGGAGCUGGGACUAUAGGUGUGCACCACCAUAUCUGGC
This 1614-nucleotide long non-coding RNA is filed under the name Homo sapiens (human). RNAcentral describes it as "HSALNT0386738". Lineage: Eukaryota; Metazoa; Chordata; Mammalia; Primates; Hominidae. The record is from RNAcentral.